This 639-nucleotide ribosomal RNA is filed under the name uncultured bacterium. RNAcentral describes it as "bacterial SSU rRNA". It matches the Rfam family "Bacterial small subunit ribosomal RNA", at positions 63 to 693 of the family's 1533-position model. The record is from RNAcentral.
CGAGGGGCAGCGGGUAGAUGAGUUUGCUCAUUUAUGCCGGCGACCGGCGCACGGGUGAGUAACACGUAUGCAACCUGCCCGUCUCAGGGGGAUAAUCGUCGGAAACGGCGUCUAAUACCCCGUAUGAAGUUGGACGGCAUCGUCUGGUUUUGAAAGAAUAUCGGAGACGGAUGGGCAUGCGGCGCAUUAGCUAGUUGGCGGGGUAACGGCCCACCAAGGCGACGAUGCGUAGGGGUUCUGAGAGGAAGGUCCCCCACACUGGUACUGAGACACGGACCAGACUCCUACGGGAGGCAGCAGUGAGGAAUAUUGGUCAAUGGGCGAGAGCCUGAACCAGCCAAGUCGCGUGAGGGAGUACUGCCCUAUGGGUUGUAAACCUCUUUUGUCGGGGAGCAAAAGCCGGACGUGUCCGUCUGUGAGAGUACCCGAAGAAAAAGCAUCGGCUAACUCCGUGCCAGCAGCCGCGGUAAUACGGAGGAUGCGAGCGUUAUCCGGAUUUAUUGGGUUUAAAGGGUGCGCAGGCGGAUUUUUAAGUCAGCGGUCAAAUCGUGGGGCUCAACCCCAUCCAGCCGUUGAAACUGGGGAUUUAGAGUGUGCGAGAGGUAUGCGGAAUGCGUGGUGUAGCGGUGAAAUGCAUAG